GACGAACGAGGGGGGAGGGAGGAACACAUGCAAGUCGAACGGAAAGGCCCUGCUUUUGUGGGGUGCUCGAGUGGCGAACGGGUGAGUAACACGUGAGUAACCUGCCCUUGACUUUGGGAUAACUUCAGGAAACUGGGGCUAAUACCGGAUAGGAGCUCCUGCUGCAUGGUGGGGGUUGGAAAGUUUCGGCGGUUGGGGAUGGACUCGCGGCUUAUCAGCUUGUUGGUGGGGUAGUGGCUUACCAAGGCUUUGACGGGUAGCCGGCCUGAGAGGGUGACCGGCCACAUUGGGACUGAGAUACGGCCCAGACUCCUACGGGAGGCAGCAGUGGGGAAUAUUGCACAAUGGGCGGAAGCCUGAUGCAGCAACGCCGCGUGCGGGAUGACGGCCUUCGGGUUGUAAACCGCUUUCGCCUGUGACGAAGCGUGAGUGACGGUAAUGGGUAAAGAAGCACCGGCUAACUACGUG
RNAcentral lists this ribosomal RNA (468 nucleotides) under uncultured bacterium. RNAcentral's name for it is "partial 16S ribosomal RNA". It matches the Rfam family "Bacterial small subunit ribosomal RNA", at positions 28 to 507 of the family's 1533-position model. The record is from RNAcentral.